RNAcentral lists this ribosomal RNA (272 nucleotides) under uncultured alpha proteobacterium SUR-FREE-29. RNAcentral's name for it is "partial 16S ribosomal RNA". Lineage: Bacteria; Pseudomonadati; Pseudomonadota; Alphaproteobacteria. The record is from RNAcentral.
GGUUACCUUGUUACGACUUCACCCCAGCCAUGAAGCACACCGUGGUAAACGCCCUCCCUAAGGUUAGACUAUCUACUUCUGGUGCAAUCCACUUCCAUGGUGUGACGGGCGGUGUGUACAAGACCCGAGAACGUAUUCACCGCGGCAUGCUGAUCCGCGAUUACUAGCGAUUCCGACUUCAUGGAGUCGAGUUGCAGACUCCAAUCCGGACUACCAGAAACCUUCCUAGGAUUAGCACCACCUCGCGGCUUAGCGUCCGUCUGUAUCCCCAU